This 933-nucleotide long non-coding RNA is filed under the name Equus caballus (horse). RNAcentral's name for it is "lncRNA (ENSECAG00000051493.1)". The record is from RNAcentral. Lineage: Eukaryota; Metazoa; Chordata; Mammalia; Perissodactyla; Equidae.
UCCUGUGGGCUAACUGUUACUAUCAUCCCCAGUGCACAGAUGUGGAAACCGAGGCUCCUCCAGACACGGGACGUCAGAGCAAUGGGGCUCCUGGUUUGCUGCAUUGCUGCACCUUGGCCAUUUGUCAAGCAACCUCUGUGCUGUCGUGGCACUGGGGACCCUACUGUGAACCUACAGAUCCCCUGUCCUUGCGGGGGGUUCCCUCUAACGAGGAAGGCAGAGACGGCUCCCUGAGAGUGGCCUUGGAGAGCCGUCCAGGUGACAGAGAGCUGUCUGCACCUUGUCCCUGGCCCCUGGGCUAUGGAGACAGCACGAGUUUCUGCCCGCCAUUCCGGUCUUCUGUCAUCUGCCAGCACAGGGGGUGGUGUGCUGGGCACCGACCCCCACCUGGAAUUGCUGGACGGGAGUCCAGUGUCCUUCUAGAACAAGGGGCUUCCAUUCAGGCCGCUGGGACACACAUCGCUGGGAACUCCCUGCUUUGGGUCUCGUUUGCUGCCGGAGAGAGUGCGGGGGCUUGGGUGCUGCCGGGGGUGGCCGGCGGUUCCCCUGCGACAACCGGCCUAGACGUGCAAGGAGCAAAGCGGGGGCUCUCUCCCCCUUCGUAAAAUGAUAAUCCAUCACUGUGGUGGACCAUUGCUCAUUUUUCCGUUUUCAAAUUGUGACAUACACACAGAAGACACACACAACAUCUACGCAUGCGUAUGCCUACGCGUGUGCAUACAGUUUAAAGAUUCGGCUGGUAUAGACGUCUGUAUUCACCUCCCACGUCAGGAAACAGGACCUUUCCAGCCGCCCAGAAGCACUCGUGUUCCUCCUGACAACAGCCCCUCUCCCUGGGGCGACUGGUGCUUGACUUCUGUGACAGCCGUGUCCCUGCUCGGCCUCACAGUCUGGCUCCCCGGGGGGCACCCUCAGCUGAGGCGUGGCGUUUUG